CUUCUCUCUAUGUGUUUUCACAGAAACCCAGGCCCAGGGAGAACAUUUACCCCUCUUCCUACAUUUCAGAGCUGAAAAUGUCGGAAUUGUCAUGGUAAUGCCCAUAGUUGAUGUGACAGAUACUGAGAAGGAAAAACACGCUUGCCACAUGUGAAAACUGCCUGGUUGGUUCUGCUCUGAGUGCCUCUCUGGAGGGCACAUUGAUGGAUUUGACAAUCACUUAAUUCUACUAGAGCCUGACCUUCAGUCUGGAAGUCAGAUAUACGCAGCAGAGACGUAGAUGAUAGCCGCAGGCUGCUGCUGGUGGGAAGCUGACAGAGUCCACUUUAAAGGACUGCCUUCAGUACCAUCUACAUUCUUCUACCUGGGACUGUGUGUGGCCAUGCGGACAGGCUCUCACCUUCACUAAACAAUUCAACUGUCCCUGCUUGCAGCUGAACCUCGGAGAGCAAUCAGCAUUCAAUGUUCUGUAGUAUAAGGAUCCUCCAGCAGAUCAUCUCUAGAGCUAGCUCUGACUUCUGCUCCCAGAGUCACCAUGGUGGUUAAGUAUGAAUUUGAUGGUCAUCUGGAAUCAGACUCUCUCCUCAUGGCUGCAAUUCCUCCGUGGUUCCGGCUGAUUUGAACCUCUCUCCAUCUCUGUGCUCCUUUCCCUGGCUGGUGGAAGUUCUGCCCCAUUCCCUUUUCUGCCCAGCCAUUGGGUGAUCGUCAUUUAUUGACAAGGCAGAGAAUAAAUGAAUUUAGUGGAAAAAGUGGGGACUCUACCGAACCUUAAAACAGACCCAGCUUUCCUCCUUCCUGUGGAUGCUCUCCACCUCUCACUGGAGCCUCCAUGUCAGCCACCUAUUCAUGGAGGCACUCUCCACCUGAGAACCCCCUGCUACACCUGCCUGGGAUUCAGAAGCAAGAAAUACACACUGGAAAAAAAAGAUGGCAUUGUCAAAAACUGGUGCUGCUCAAACUGGAUGGCUGCAUAAUAGAAAAAUGCAAAUAGAUUCAUGCUUAUCACUUGCGCAAGCUCAACUCCAAGUGGAUCAGAGAUCUCAAAACAAGAUAUGCUGAGCCUGAUAGAAGAAAAGUGGGGAAUAGUUUUGAAUCAUCGGCACAGAAUUACAUGUGUCUGUGUUGUCUCCCCAGAGGCAGAGACGGAGAUUGACUGAACCACCAUUCAGAUGGUGCUAUUAAAUUCCAGGAGGUACUUCUGGUGGUGAGUUCUCCAUCACCACUCAGCAUUCCUAGCCAUCAGUCACUGGUGAACGAGGAGAGAGAGGGUGGGGAGAGGGGACCUGACAUACCACAUUCUGUUCAGCUCAUGACUUAGAGCUGAACAGCAGCGUGUGCUGGUACAGGGGCAGAUGAUCUGAUUCUGGCACUGGGAAUCUGUGUUUUAGGCAUCACUUUUAUAAUUUAAGUAAAACUGAGGAUUCAAAAACCA
This 1432-nucleotide long non-coding RNA is filed under the name Mus musculus (house mouse). Its description in RNAcentral is "predicted gene 29571". The record is from RNAcentral. Lineage: Eukaryota; Metazoa; Chordata; Mammalia; Rodentia; Muridae.